GAUGAACGCUGGCGGCGUGCCUAAUACAUGCAAGUAGAACGCUGAAGCUUGGUGCUUGCACCGAGCGGAUGAGUUGUGAACGGGUGAGUAACGCGUAGGUAACCUGCCUCUUAGCGGGGGAUAACUAUUGGAAACGAUAGCUAAUACCGCAUAAAAGUCGACAUUGCAUGAUGUUGACUUGAAAGGUGCAAUUGCAUCACUAAGAGAUGGACCUGCGUUGUAUUAGCUAGUUGGUGAGGUAACGGCUCACCAAGGCAACGAUACAUAGCCGACCUGAGAGGGUGAUCGGCCACACUGGGACUGAGACACGGCCCAGACUCCUACGGGAGGCAGCAGUAGGGAAUCUUCGGCAAUGGGGGCAACCCUGACCGAGCAACGCCGCGUGAGUGAAGAAGGUUUUCGGAUCGUAAAGCUCUGUUGUAAGAGAAGAACGAGUGUGAGAGUGGAAAGUUCACACUGUGACGGUAACUUACCAGAAAGGGACGGCUAACUACGUGCCAGCAGCCGCGGUAAUACGUAGGUCCCGAGCGUUAUCCGGAUUUAUUGGGCGUAAAGCGAGCGCAGGCGGUUAGAUAAGUCUGAAGUUAAAGGCUGUGGCUUAACCAUAGUACGCUUUGGAAACUGUUUAACUUGAGUGCAGAAGGGGAGAGUGGAAUUCCAUGUGUAGCGGUGAAAUGCGUAGAUAUAUGGAGGAACACCGGUGGCGAAAGCGGCUCUCUGGUCUGUAACUGACGCUGAGGCUCGAAAGCGUGGGGAGCAAACAGG
RNAcentral lists this ribosomal RNA (765 nucleotides) under uncultured Streptococcus sp. RNAcentral describes it as "bacterial SSU rRNA". It matches the Rfam family "Bacterial small subunit ribosomal RNA", at positions 28 to 776 of the family's 1533-position model. Lineage: Bacteria; Bacillati; Bacillota; Bacilli; Lactobacillales; Streptococcaceae. The record is from RNAcentral.